Molecule: transfer RNA, 90 nt
Filed under: Planctomycetota bacterium
Lineage: Bacteria; Pseudomonadati; Planctomycetota
Description: Planctomycetes bacterium (subsurface metagenome) tRNA-Ser
Rfam family: tRNA
About the family: Transfer RNA (tRNA) molecules are approximately 80 nucleotides in length. Their secondary structure includes four short double-helical elements and three loops (D, anti-codon, and T loops). Further hydrogen bonds mediate the characteristic L-shaped molecular structure. tRNAs have two regions of fundamental functional importance: the anti-codon, which is responsible for specific mRNA codon recognition, and the 3' end, to which the tRNAs corresponding amino acid is attached (by aminoacyl-tRNA synthetases). tRNAs cope with the degeneracy of the genetic code in two manners: having more than one tRNA (with a specific anti-codon) for a particular amino acid; and 'wobble' base-pairing, i.e. permitting non-standard base-pairing at the 3rd anti-codon position.
Source: RNAcentral
GGAGAGAUGGCAGAGUGGUCGAAUGCGUGGGCUUGCUAAGCCUAUGAGGGGGUCUUACCCCCUCCAGGGGUUCGAAUCCCCUUUUCUCCG